UACGGGGGGGGCAAGCGUUGUUCGGAAUUACUGGGCGUAAAGGGCUCGUAGGCGGCCAACUAAGUCAGACGUGAAAUCCCUCGGCUUAACCGGGGAACUGCGUCUGAUACUGGAUGGCUUGAGAUUGGGAGAGGGAUGCGGAAUUCCAGGUGUAGCGGUGAAAUGCGUAGAUAUCUGGAGGAACACCGGUGGCGAAGGCGGCAUCCUGGACCAAUACUGACACUGAGGAGCGAAAGCCAGGGGAGCAAACGGG
Molecule: ribosomal RNA, 253 nt
Filed under: uncultured bacterium
Lineage: Bacteria
Description: partial 16S ribosomal RNA
Rfam family: Bacterial small subunit ribosomal RNA
Source: RNAcentral